RNAcentral lists this ribosomal RNA (253 nucleotides) under uncultured bacterium. RNAcentral's name for it is "partial 16S ribosomal RNA". It matches the Rfam family "Bacterial small subunit ribosomal RNA", at positions 524 to 776 of the family's 1533-position model. The record is from RNAcentral.
UACGGAGGGUGCAAGCGUUAUCCGGAUUCACUGGGUUUAAAGGGCUCGUAGGUGGCCAACUAAGUCAGACGUGAAAUCCCUCGGCUUAACCGGGGAACUGCGUCUGAUACUGGUUGGCUUGAGUUUGGGAGAGGGAUGCGGAAUUCCAGGUGUAGCGGUGAAAUGCGUAGAUAUCUGGAGGAACACCGGUGGCGAAGGCGGCAUCCUGGACCAACACUGACGCUGAGGAGCGAAAGCCAGGGGAGCAAACGGG